UACGUAGGUGGCGAGCGUUAUCCGGAAUUAUUGGGCGUAAAGAGCGCGCAGGUGGUUGAUUAAGUCUGAUGUGAAAGCCCACGGCUUAACCGUGGAGGGUCAUUGGAAACUGGUCGACUUGAGUGCAGAAGAGGGAAGUGGAAUUCCAUGUGUAGCGGUGAAAAUGCGUAGAGAUAUGGAGGAACACCAGUGGCGAAGGCGGCUUCCUGGUCUGUAACUGACACUGAGGCGCGAAAGCGUGGGGAGCAAACAGG
Molecule: ribosomal RNA, 254 nt
Filed under: uncultured bacterium
Lineage: Bacteria
Description: partial 16S ribosomal RNA
Rfam family: Bacterial small subunit ribosomal RNA
Source: RNAcentral